GGGGGGGGAAACAACAGUCAGUUCACUUGCAGUGAUGAUAGCAAGAUAAUCCGCAUAGCAUAUUAGCAAAAGACUGAAUUAUUGUAUAUUUUUUUAUUUUUCAAUAGCAUCUAAAAACAGUCUGUGUUCUCCAUCAAAUGUCACUUUAUUAACUCUCUCUAGCUGUUACAGUCAUCCUGACCAGAUCUAAUACCACAUUGGUGCACACUUAUUAGUGAAUAUCACCUGACGAACUAAAGGGCUUUCAUAUUGCAAUGACUAUAAUCAAAACAAAAUCACUUACACCUUGCUCCUACAAAAUUUAAUGUCUAUUUCAUUAUUUCAUGCCUGUAGUCUAGGGGUGGCAAAAAUACCCACCCAGUACGAACCUGGACCACACCCGGGCAUUGUGGGUUGGGUAUUACCCGGCUCGGGUAUGAAGCUGGGCCGGUCUUGACAUCACUUGAUAAACCCAGAACCCAGAUUUUAUUAAAAAAAUUAUUAUAAAAUAUAUUAUUUUAAAUAUUUAUAUUUAUUUGACUCAUUUAUUACACAUAUAUAAAGUUUUAAACACUUAAAAUUUAUAUUUUCAUGUCAAAUUUUAUUGAAAUAAAUUUAAAACUUAUAAAAUUACCAAAAAAAAAUAUUCACAUAUAAUAUUAAAAAAUAUAAAAUCCGGGUACCCGGAUUAAAGCAAAAAGCCCGACCCGAGCAUCUAAAAAUAUCCGGGCCAGGUCUGGGCAUUGCAAUACCCGGACCCAAAAAGCCCGACCCGAGCAUCUAAAAAUAUCCGGGCCAGGUCUGGGCAUUGCAAUACCCGGACCCGAGUUUUGCCAACCCUACUAUAGUCCUUUUCCUUACGAAGGAAAAAAGAUAAAAAUUAGUUACUCCCUAAGGUUGAAAAAUUCAGAAACCUAUGACAUUUUCUCAAAUAAAUGUAACCAAAAUGGAGCCAAAUAACUGUAAGCAUAAUAGGGUUGAAAAUCAGAGCAGAACAAUCCAGUGAGAUAAUUAUAUAGAACGGGUAAACUUUGAUUUACCCCCCACUUAGAAUGACAAUCUUUAAUUUACACCCAGGGUUUAAAACAUCAAUUUAUCCCCAUUUACUGUUGACAAGACAAAAAUAAAGUUAAUAAUCACACCGCCCAUUAGCCUGCAUCUUUCCAACAAAAAUGGGGGUAAAUUGAUAUUUUCACUCUUUUGGGGGAUAAGUUGAAGAUUAUCAUUCUUAUUGGGGGCUAAAAAGAAAUUUAUCCUUAUAGAAAUGUUGAAACUUUAAAGGCACCAAUUGAAGUUAUAAGGUUAGCAGACAAGACCUCA
This 1299-nucleotide long non-coding RNA is filed under the name Citrus sinensis (sweet orange). RNAcentral's name for it is "long non-coding RNA (CSIN_LNC004638)". The record is from RNAcentral. Lineage: Eukaryota; Viridiplantae; Streptophyta; Magnoliopsida; Sapindales; Rutaceae.